UUGAACCCGGUCCUUGUGGUUCACAGUCCGGAGACUUAUCCACUGAGCCACAACACCUCUACCUCAUUUUCAUUUCAGUGGCAAUACUCUGCUACGUUACAAAAAUCUUAGUCCUUGAUUCAUCAUUAUUUAAAAUCAAGCAUACAAAGCAUGUUUGAGAUCUAUUGUUAUGCUUUGUAAGUGCUCACUUCUACUCCAUGCUUACAUACCCUGUUAAUGAACAAAUUCGAUAUUUCAAUUUAAGUAAAAAGAAAUAAGAAUGAAAGCAACUAUAAUUUCUGAAAUCAAAUAAAACUUCCACAAAAAAUAAGGGAUGGGGGAGGACACAAAAAAUAUCAAUGCUCUAUUGCAUUUUCAGGUAAAAAAAAUAUGUAUUGCAGAAUCUGGGUUAACUUGUUGUAAAAUGUACAUUUCAAGCUCUAUUAUUGAAUAAAAUGGCAGUCAUAUAUCUUAUUGUCAUCUGCAUACAGGAUAAUGGUCACUCGUUACCAAUUUCAACUACCGUUAGAAUAUUUCCUUGGUUAAUUGUAUAGUAAUUGAUAGGUUAAUGUAAUUCCACACAUAACUACAUGAGAGUCCAUGUAGAAACACUAAACAGAUAUAAAGUUUGAAUAUUCGACCUUAUUUUAAUAUGACAGGUUAAUGUAAUUUCUUACCCUAAUAUGACAGGUUAAUGUAUUUCCUUACACAACUACAUGAGAAUCCAUG
Long non-coding RNA from Lytechinus variegatus (green sea urchin), 708 nucleotides. RefSeq lists it as uncharacterized. NCBI's taxonomy places the organism in Eukaryota, Metazoa, Echinodermata, Echinoidea, Temnopleuroida, Toxopneustidae. The record is from RefSeq and is a predicted model, not a curated record. The transcript is spliced from 2 exons.